GAUGAACGCUGGCGGCGUGCCUAAUACAUGCAAGUCGAGCGAACGGACGAUAAGCUUGCUUUUCUGAUGUUAGCCGCAGACGUGUGAGUAACACGUGGAUAACCUACCUAUAAUACUGGUAUAACUGCGGGAAACCGGAGCUAAUACCGUAUAAUAUUUUGAACCGCAUGGUUCAAAAGUGAAAUACGGUCUUGCUGUCACUUAUCGAUGGAUCCGCGCUGCAUUAGCUAGUUGGUAAGGUAAUGGCUUACCAAGGCAACGAUGCAUAAACGACCUGAGAGAGUGAUAGGCCACCUGGGAACUUGGACACGCACCAGACUACUAAGGGAGGGAGCAGUAGGCAACCUGACGCAACGGGGGAAAGCAUGACGGAGUAACGCCGAGCGAGUGAUAAAGGUCUUCGGAUCGUAAAAACCUGUUAUUAGGGAAGAACAUAUGUCUAAGGAAAUGUGCACAACUUGACGGUACCUAAUCAGAAAGCCACGGCUAACUACGUG
RNAcentral lists this ribosomal RNA (497 nucleotides) under uncultured bacterium. Its description in RNAcentral is "partial 16S ribosomal RNA". It matches the Rfam family "Bacterial small subunit ribosomal RNA", at positions 28 to 507 of the family's 1533-position model. The record is from RNAcentral.